Molecule: ribosomal RNA, 576 nt
Filed under: Monilinia fructigena
Lineage: Eukaryota; Fungi; Ascomycota; Leotiomycetes; Helotiales; Sclerotiniaceae
Description: LSU rRNA
Rfam family: Eukaryotic large subunit ribosomal RNA
Source: RNAcentral
AGAAGAUGCUUCGGGUGUGGUUCCGGUCUAAGUUCCUUGGAACAGGACGUCAUAGAGGGUGAGAAUCCCGUAUGUGACUGGAUACCUAUGCUCAUGUGAAGCUCUUUCGACGAGUCGAGUUGUUUGGGAAUGCAGCUCAAAAUGGGUGGUAUAUUUCAUCUAAAGCUAAAUAUUGGCCAGAGACCGAUAGCGCACAAGUAGAGUGAUCGAAAGAUGAAAAGCACUUUGGAAAGAGAGUUAAACAGUACGUGAAAUUGUUGAAAGGGAAGCGCUUGCAAUCAGACUUGCACUUGGUGUUCAUCGGGGUUUCUACCCCGUGUACUUCAUCAAGUUCAGGCCAGCAUCAGUUUGGGUGGUUAGAUAAAGGCUUAGAGAAUGUGGCCCUCUUCGGGGGGUGUUAUAGCUCUAGGUGCAAUGUAGCCUACCUGGACUGAGGACCGCGCUUCGGCUAGGAUGCUGGCGUAAUGGUUGUAAGCGACCCGUCUUGAAACACGGACCAAGGAGUGUACCUAAUAUGCGAGUGUUUGGGUGUUAAACCCAUACGCGUAAUGAAAGUGAACGGAGGUGAGAGCCCUU